Molecule: ribosomal RNA, 253 nt
Filed under: uncultured bacterium
Lineage: Bacteria
Description: partial 16S ribosomal RNA
Rfam family: Bacterial small subunit ribosomal RNA
Source: RNAcentral
UACGGAGGGGGCUAGCGUUGUUCGGAAUUACUGGGCGUAAAGCGCGCGUAGGCGGCUUUGUAAGUUAGAGGUGAAAGCCCGGAGCUCAACUCCGGAAUUGCCUUUAAGACUGCAUCGCUAGAAUCAUGGAGAGGUGAGUGGAAUUCCGAGUGUAGAGGUGAAAUUCGUAGAUAUUCGGAAGAACACCAGUGGCGAAGGCGGCUCACUGGCUCAUUUCUGACGCUCAGGCGCGACAGCGUGGGGAUCAAACAGG